Long non-coding RNA from Stylophora pistillata, 1235 nucleotides. RefSeq lists it as uncharacterized. Lineage: Eukaryota; Metazoa; Cnidaria; Anthozoa; Scleractinia; Pocilloporidae. The record is from RefSeq and is a predicted model, not a curated record.
UAAGCACAAGAGGAACCAGAGCCAAAUGUUAUAAAUCAGGCCGUUAUGCCUUUAGCAGUGAAAUUAUGGCCAAGAUUAUUACCCACAUCUACACAAUAGGUUGAGGGAAGUUUCUUGUGAAGUGCAAAGAGCCUUAAAGCUCGACUACCAGCCUAGUGCCGUCCGUGUACGCUACCGAGGAAACGAGGGGAUGUUAGUUCUUAAAGAAGAUUUAAAAGAAAUCAAACAGCAGUUCCACAAAUCCAUGCAAAGUUCCUCAACCCUGGUGAGAAAAAGCCGGAGGUUCAUGGAACAUCCACGCCAAUAGGUAAAUGGUUACCUUAAAUGACAGUUGAUCAUGUUGCUGGAAGAAAUUGGUGUGUCCCCCCAGAAUCUACAGGCCCCACAAGAGUUGCUGGAGGGGAUAGUCAAAGAAAUCUCCAAGUAUCUCUUACCCUUGCAUGCAUACUUAAAGGAAAUUUUCGUAUUCCACAAGAACUCCAUGGAAACAGAAUUGACGGUUGCAUAAAAGACAACGUAAGCCUUUACAAAGGCGUGAGGUGAAAGAAAUGGAGAAAGCUGCAUAUACAAGAGUUCUUGUCCUCAAUUCACGAGGAAGUAUUCACUGUGCGUGAUCCUCUCAACAAAUUGAACUAAGGCGAAUGCUACUUCAAUCGCACUGUCCCGGGUGACAGGAAGUUUUACUGCCGGCCAGAAGUUUGUGGUGAAGUGCAACCAAUACUACCAUCCAGCCGGAGAUGAUGAUGCGUGUGUUGAAAAUGACUGACAAAAAAAGGAUGACAUGAGUGGAAACAAAUUCGUUAUUAGGUGGGAACGAAAGGUUCUUCCAAGUGGAAAAGAGAAACCAUGCAGCUAUUCGCCCUCUUUUGCAGCUAAAAUCUUAGCAGCUGCGGCUCGCUCUGAAUCAAAAGUUACCACAAAGUUAGAGAGAGCUAAUCGAAGCAAAGAAGUGGGCAAGCUUCUUAAGAAACUGUGGUACGGUAUCGGUGGGAGAAUAUAACGAGCACCAUAGCUGGACAAAGCAGCAUUGAGUAGAUGGAGGCAACCAACUCUAUAGGCAGAUAAACCAAGGGAACCAAGGAAUUGUUCUGUGUUGCACAUCUCACAAUGUAAUGAGCACAGGUUGAUGUGGCUCAGGUCUUCUUCCAAGAGAAACACCAAUUCAUCCCUUAGGCCCUUUGGCCUUGGAACAAUUAAUGAUAACAAAGAACACAAUAAACACCAUGCAAACAGUA